CUGAAUGUAAUCAAGUUGUGAUGAAUUAAUUUAUUUAAUGACAAAAAUAUUUGUAUCAAAAUUCACCCAUGAUCAUAUAAUAAAAAUAACUAAAAUUAUACUAAAGAAUAAUAUCUCAUUACAAACUCCUUAAAUAAAAGUAAAAUAUGUCCAAUGACAAGAAAAUCUAACUAAAAUAUAUCAAAUAUUACUCCUAAACAAAGAUAUAUAAGUAAAAAUUACCUUCCAAAGUAUCAAUAAUGUGGUGACACAUAGCUUGCAAUCAAUCUUACUUCAAUUCCCACCUUUUAUACCUGUAAAAAGAAAGAGAAAAUAAAAUAAAGAUCUAAAUUGAGAUAUUCAUAUUAGAGUCAAAAGUAAAAUAUGUAACACAAUUUUGUCUUUCAUAUGUUGUAAUGCCCAGUUUUAUAAGUAAUUUUUAAUUUACAAUAUAAAUUUUAUCAUUACAAAUUUAACUUGAGUGAAAGUUUAUGAAGUAUAUCAUCACAAACUACUCUAUAUGGCAACAUAAACUUCAUCAUUCAUGAAACUGCUAACUAUUAAAACAUAAUGUAAAAACUACAAUCUAGUAAAAUUAUAAGUGCAAAAUGAACAAAAGAACAUAAAAAUCCCACAUAAAACCAUAAAACAGUACCAAGUUCAUAUCUUUAACAAUUGGUCUCCUAAAUAAAGAAAAAAUAAAAAAAGAAGACUAAGUUGUGAUUAGGCCUCAUAUGGUAUAGUCUCCAGUCAAUUACUGAACCACAUAGUGUGAAAAAUGAUAAUAAAACAUAGCCAAUAAAACUUAGAUCUACAUAUCCAUUAAAGAUUAACCAGUGAUUAUGUGAAUAUAGGGUUAAAGAAUAUGAAAUACAAAGAAAAGACCUUUCUUGUUGAUUUCUUUUCAAUUUUUGUUUUCAUUUCUCUCUCUAUAUAUUUGUUUUAAAGUUGAACGUGGGAGAUGAGAAAGGAAAGGAAGAUGAAAGAAGACAAAGAAGAAAAAAAGGAAUAUUUUUUUAUCUUUUCUGUAUCAGUGUGGUUGAACUACCUGAAAAUAAUUUAUUUUUUUUAUGUUUCCUAUUUUGAUUCUUUUAAUUUUUUUCCUUUUUAAAAUUAAUUAAUUGUCUUGGAAGAUUAAAAAAAAAAGAACCAUCAAAAUCGAUGACGGAAAACCAACAAUGCAAAUUGUCAUGGGGUCCACCUUAUAAGAUACUAGAAAAAAUAUAUAAAAACAAUUACACUUCCACUAUUUAUUGAUAAUUGAUACACUAUUCUUAAAGUAAAAUUAAGCAAGUGUAAGACCUAUAAUGUAGUAAUACUUUUCAUUUCAAAUUAAUAGUCUUACUUUUAAAAAAAUAUUUCUCACUUUUUAACAACCUUUUAACUUUUUAAAGUUUCAAAAAUUAAAAGAUUUAUCUAUAUAUCUUAUCGAAAUGAGAAUCAGAUAUACGUAAUUUAUGAAGCUUCAAAUAUGAAAUAAGCAGGUCUUUUUUGGUGUUUUUCAUAUAAAGAAAAAAUAUUUUCAAAAUUUUUAAGUUAGAGCAAACUUUCUAACUCUAGACAUAUUUUGUGAAAAUACAGUUUAAAUCAUUCAAGAAUGUGUGUAACUUUCUUUUAAGCCAUAAAUACAUGUAUCAUCGUAAGAGAAUCAAAAUAUAAAAGCAAGAAUAAACGUAGACAAUAGUUUUACUUAAACAUGAAAUAAAUCAUGGGUUGUUUAAACCUGAAAUAAAAUAAGGUUUGUUAUAACAAUUUCGCACUAAGUCUAAUGAUAUAAAAUAUCUAAACAUAAAGUUGAUAUGAAAGAUUUGAACAUUCUUCAUAUUAUAACAUCAACGAAUAUUAAUGGUUUAAAUACAUACAAAAUUUAACAAUUUCAAUAUAUUGCAACCAAUGCUUGUAUAAUCAUGAUAUUAAACUAUAUAAAAAGGAUUAAAUGUUACCUCUUGUGAAAAUUAAUUCACAAAGAAAAGACCAUAACUGAAACCACAAAUUAGAAACCACGAAUAAAAACCCCGAACUUAACUUUUCUUUUGUUGCUGAACGAUUUUUUUUGGUUAGUAUUGCUGGAAGGAAAGAGUGCUUGGUGUAUGAUUUGGAAUUUGGAUGCGUGAGUUUCUGUAUGUAUUUUUGAUUGUUUUUUAUUUAUUUUUUAUCUUUCUAUAUUUGUGUUUUGUGUAUGUGUCGGGUGUGUGUAGUGUGAGGGGGUAAUGGGAGAAGUGGGG
Molecule: long non-coding RNA, 2204 nt
Filed under: Solanum tuberosum (potato)
Lineage: Eukaryota; Viridiplantae; Streptophyta; Magnoliopsida; Solanales; Solanaceae
Description: long non-coding RNA (STUB_LNC007488)
Source: RNAcentral